Molecule: ribosomal RNA, 253 nt
Filed under: uncultured bacterium
Lineage: Bacteria
Description: partial 16S ribosomal RNA
Rfam family: Bacterial small subunit ribosomal RNA
Source: RNAcentral
UACGGGGGGGGCAAGCGUUGUUCGGAAUUACUGGGCGUAAAGGGCUCGUAGGCGGCCAACUAAGUCGGAUGUGAAAUCUCCAGGCUCAACCUGGGAACUGCAUCCGAUACUGGAUGGCUUGAAUUCGGGAGAGGGAUGCAGAAUUCCAGGUGUAGCGGUGAAAUGCGUAGAUAUCUGGAGGAAUACCGGUGGCGAAGGCGGCAUCCUGGACCGACAUUGACGCUGAGGAGCGAAAGCCAGGGGAGCAAACGGG